This 473-nucleotide ribosomal RNA is filed under the name Potamon ibericum. RNAcentral's name for it is "LSU rRNA". The stretch from base 388 to 473 matches the Rfam family "Eukaryotic large subunit ribosomal RNA", at positions 813 to 898 of the family's 3401-position model. The record is from RNAcentral. Lineage: Eukaryota; Metazoa; Arthropoda; Malacostraca; Decapoda; Potamidae.
CCGGUGUCUCUUCCCACACCAAAGCGGGGCCAAGACGGGAGCGGCGCGGGGUGAGACCCUUUCCCCCGUCGUCCGACUCCCGGCCCCGUGGGUACCCGGCGAGCGCGGCAGUCCGGUGGUCCCUCUCCUCUCGGGGGGAGGAGGCCACCGCCUGUACGCAGGGGGGCGCAGGCCCGGGACUUGCCAUUAGACGCCGUCGCGCAAAUCUGUUGUUGGCCUCGCCGGCUCUGCUUGGGCUCUCGGUUGGCGGGCCGCGCGUCAGGCGGGCUUUAGGGCGGGGGCAUCCCCGUCCGGGUCCGUCCCGCGCGGUUUUGCCUUCCGAUCCUGCUCUGUCCGGAGUGGCCUAGCGCGCGUGCUGUCGGCAAGUACCAUGAGCAGACAUGUUGGGACCCGAAAGAUGGUGAACUAUGCCUGGCCAGGAUGAAGCCAGAGGAAACUCUGGUGGAGGUCCGCAGCAAUUCUGACGUGCAAAU